GGAGGAAAAGAACCAACAGGGAUUGCCCCAGUAACGGCGAGUGAAGCGGCAACAGCUCAAAUUUGAAAUCUGGCCCCUCGGGGUCCGAGUUGUAAUUUGUAGAGGAUGCUUUUGGUGAGGUGCCGCCCGAGUUCCCUGGAACGGGACGCCACAGAGGGUGAGAGCCCCGUCUGGCUGGCCACCGAGCCUCUGUAAAGCUCCUUCGACGAGUCGAGUAGUUUGGGAAUGCUGCUCAAAAUGGGAGGUAUAUGUCUUCUAAAGCUAAAUAUUGGCCAGAGACCGAUAGCGCACAAGUAGAGUGAUCGAAAGAUGAAAAGCACCUUGAAAAGAGGGUUAAAUAGUACGUGAAAUUGUUGAAAGGGAAGCGCUUGUGACCAGACUUGGGCGCGGCGGAUCAUCCGGGGUUCUCUCCGGUGCACUUCGCCGCGUCUAGGCCAGCAUCAGUUCGUCGCGGGGGAAAAAGGCUUCGGGAACGUGGCUCCUCCGGGAGUGUUAUAGCCCGUUGCAUAAUACCCUGCGGUGGACUGAGGACCGCGCAUCUGCAAGGAUGCUGGCGUAAUGGUCACCAGCGACCCGUCUUGAAACACGGACCAAGGAGUCGUCUUCGUAUGCGAGUGUUCGGGUGUCAAACCCCUACGCGUAAUGAAAGUGAACGCAGGUGAGAGCUUCGGCGCAUCAUCGACCGAUCCUGAUGUUCUCGGACGGAUUUGAGUAAGAGCAUACGGGGCCGGACCCGAAAGAAGGUGAACUAUGCCUGUAUAGGGUGAAGCCAGAGGAAACUCUGGUGGAGGCUCGCAGCGGUUCUGACGUGCAAAUCGAUCGUCAAAUAUGGGCAUGGGGGCGAAAGACUAAUCGAACCUUCUAGUAGCUGGUUUCCGCCGAAGUU
This 886-nucleotide ribosomal RNA is filed under the name Trichoderma atroviride. RNAcentral describes it as "LSU rRNA". It matches the Rfam family "Eukaryotic large subunit ribosomal RNA", at positions 52 to 968 of the family's 3401-position model. The record is from RNAcentral. Lineage: Eukaryota; Fungi; Ascomycota; Sordariomycetes; Hypocreales; Hypocreaceae.